CUGGAGCGAGAGACUGAGACAAGAAAAUUAUUUAUUACGUCAAAAAAAAAAAAAAAAAAAAAAGAAAUGCUAUACCCAGCGGCUGGGUUGGAGAAAUGGGUUAAGGCAAGUACUUUGUUUCCCUGUGGAUUUUAUUACAGUGGGUAGAUUUUUGUAAUGUAUAGACUUUAAAUACAAAA
Jatropha curcas is the source of this 179-nucleotide non-coding RNA. The record is from RefSeq and is a predicted model, not a curated record. Lineage: Eukaryota; Viridiplantae; Streptophyta; Magnoliopsida; Malpighiales; Euphorbiaceae.